GCAUAAGCGUCAGUGCCUGUCGCUGCGGCUGCGUGGCGGGUUGUCCAGGUAACCACGGGAGUUGUCGCUGUCUAGGAGCAUCUGAAAGACAGGUGUGCGUCAUGCACUUGAAGCACCUGAGGACCCUGCUGAGCCCUCAGGAUGGAGCUGCAAAGGUGACCUGCAUGGCUUGGUCCCAGAACAAUGCCAAAUUUGCUGUCUGCACAGUGGACCGAGUGGUCUUGCUGUAUGAUGAACAUGGAGAACGGAGAGAUAAAUUCUCCACCAAACCAGCUGACAUGAAGUAUGGCAGGAAGAGCUAUAUGGUGAAGGGCAUGGCUUUUUCUCCUGAUUCCACUAAAAUUGCCAUAGGACAGACUGACAACAUCAUCUAUGUCUACAAGAUUGGAGAAGAUUGGGGUGACAAGAAAGUCAUCUGCAACAAGUUCAUCCAGACGGUAAAGUUCAGACCAGUCCCUGGAACCUUAGGAUGAACAAACAUAUAUCAGUAUAUCUACUUAUAAAUACAGCCAGGAGUUGCAUUUCUAACAUCUGAAUGUGACUUUUCCUACUGCAAGGAUGGUGCUUCAUGGCUGUUCAUGGUCAUCUGCUGUCUUCCUUAGAGCCCUGCUGUGUCCUUCCCUAUAGGAGAUUGAGGUGGUGGUGUGUGGUGGGGUGUUGAAGUUGUUAUAAAAGUGCUGGCCCACACAGAUGGGGUUAUCCUUUUCAUUAUUUCCUUUCACACAGAGUGCUGUCACUUGUCUGCAAUGGCCGGCAGAAUACAUCAUUGUCUUUGGACUGG
Molecule: small RNA, 781 nt
Filed under: Pan troglodytes (chimpanzee)
Lineage: Eukaryota; Metazoa; Chordata; Mammalia; Primates; Hominidae
Description: retained intron
Source: RNAcentral